RNAcentral lists this transfer RNA (72 nucleotides) under Halocynthia spinosa. RNAcentral describes it as "transfer RNA-Val". The record is from RNAcentral. Lineage: Eukaryota; Metazoa; Chordata; Ascidiacea; Stolidobranchia; Pyuridae.
CAAUGAAUAGUUUAAUAUUAAGAUACUACUGUUACAUAGUAGAGAUAAGAAGGGCCAUCUUCUUUUUGUUGA